AUACGGAGGGAGCGAGCGUUAAUCGGAAUUACUGGGCGUAAAGCGCGCGUAGGCGGCUUUGUAAGUCGGAUGUGAAAGCCCAGGGCUCAACCCUGGAAUUGCAUUCGAUACUGCAUAGCUAGAGUAUGGUAGAGGGAAGUGGAAUUUCCGGUGUAGCGGUGAAAUGCGUAGAUAUCGGAAGGAACACCGGUGGCGAAGGCGACUUCCUGGGCCAAUACUGACGCUGAGGUGCGAAAGCGUGGGGAGCAAACAGGAUUAGAAACCCCGGUAGUCC
Molecule: ribosomal RNA, 274 nt
Filed under: uncultured bacterium
Lineage: Bacteria
Description: partial 16S ribosomal RNA
Rfam family: Bacterial small subunit ribosomal RNA
Source: RNAcentral